UACCAGCACCCCGAGUGGUCGGGACGAUUAUUGGGCCUAAAGCAUCCGUAGCCGGUCCUGCAAGUCUUCCGUUAAAUCCAGCUGCUCAACAGAUGGGCUGCGGGGGAUACUACAUGGCUAGGAGGCGGGAGAGGCAAGCGGUACUUUAUGGGUAGGGGUAAAAUCCGUUGAUCCAUAGAAGACCACCAGUGGCGAAGGCGGCUUACUGGUCCGGAACUGACGCUGAGGUGCGAAAGCGUGGGGAGCAAACAGG
Molecule: ribosomal RNA, 253 nt
Filed under: uncultured bacterium
Lineage: Bacteria
Description: partial 16S ribosomal RNA
Rfam family: Archaeal small subunit ribosomal RNA
Source: RNAcentral